CAGCCGUAAACUAUGCGCGUUAGGUGUACUGGUGACCACGAGUCACCGGGGUGCCGAAGGGAAACCGUGAAACGUGCCGCCUGGGAAGUACGGUCGCAAGGCUGAAACUUAAAGGAAUUGGCGGGGGAGCACCACAACACGUGGAGCCUGCGGUUUAAUUGGAUUCAACGCCGGGAAGCUCACCGGAUAGGACAGCAGAAUGAUUGCCGGGCUGAAGACCCUGCAUGACUAGCUGAGAGGAGGUGCAUGGCGUCAGUGACU
This 261-nucleotide ribosomal RNA is filed under the name uncultured archaeon. Its description in RNAcentral is "partial 16S ribosomal RNA". It matches the Rfam family "Archaeal small subunit ribosomal RNA", at positions 748 to 1008 of the family's 1478-position model. The record is from RNAcentral.